UAGGGGGUUUCCGCCCCUUAGUGCUGCAGCUAACGCAUUAAGCACUCCGCCUGGGGAGUACGGUCGCAAGACUGAAACUCAAAGGAAUUGACGGGGGCCCGCACAAGCGGUGGAGCAUGUGGUUUAAUUCGAAGCAACGCGAAGAACCUUACCAGGUCUUGACAUCCCGCUGACCGUUCUAGAGAUAGAUCUUUCCCUUCGGGGACAGCGGUGACAGGUGGUGCAUGGUUGUCGUCAGCUCGUGUCGUGAGAUGUUGGGUUAAGUCCCGCAACGAGCGCAACCCUUGAUCUUAGUUGCCAGCAUUCAGUUGGGCACUCUAAGGUGACUGCCGGUGAUAAACCGGAGGAAGGUGGGGAUGACGUCAAAUCAUCAUGCCCCUUAUGACCUGGGCUACACACGUGCUACAAUGGACGGUACAGAGGGUCGCAACCCCGCGAGGGUGAGCUAAUCCCAUAAAACCGUUCUCAGUUCGGAUUGUAGGCUGCAACUCGCCUACAUGAAGCCGGAAUCGCUAGUAAUCGUGGAUCAGCAUGCCACGGUGAAUACGUUCCCGGGCCUUGUACACACCGCCCGUCACACCACGAGAGUUUGUAACACCCGAAGUCGGUGGGGUAACCCUUACGGGAGCCAGCCGCCGAAGGUGGGACAGAUGAUUGGGGUGA
This 663-nucleotide ribosomal RNA is filed under the name Bacillus sp. FSL_h8483. Its description in RNAcentral is "bacterial SSU rRNA". It matches the Rfam family "Bacterial small subunit ribosomal RNA", at positions 824 to 1483 of the family's 1533-position model. The record is from RNAcentral. Lineage: Bacteria; Bacillati; Bacillota; Bacilli; Caryophanales; Bacillaceae.